AGAGUUUGAUCAUGGCUCAGAUUGAACGCUGGCGGCAUGCCUUACACAUGCAAGUCGAACGGCAGCACGGGGGCAACCCUGGUGGCGAGUGGCGAACGGGUGAGUAAUACAUCGGAACGUGUCCUGUAGUGGGGGAUAGCCCGGCGAAAGCCGGAUUAAUACCGCAUACGCUCUACGGAGGAAAGGGGGGGAUCUUCGGACCUCCCGCUACAGGGGCGGCCGAUGGCAGAUUAGCUAGUUGGUGGGGUAAAGGCCUACCAAGGCGACGAUCUGUAGCUGGUCUGAGAGGACGACCAGCCACACUGGGACUGAGACACGGCCCAGACUCCUACGGGAGGCAGCAGUGGGGAAUUUUGGACAAUGGGCGAAAGCCUGAUCCAGCAAUGCCGCGUGUGUGAAGAAGGCCUUCGGGUUGUAAAGCACUUUUGUCCGGAAAGAAAACGCUCUGGUUAAUACCCGGGGCGGAUGACGGUACCGGAAGAAUAAGCACCGGCUAACUACGUGCCAGCAGCCGCGGUAAUACGUAGGGUGCAAGCGUUAAUCGGAAUUACUGGGCGUAAAGCGUGCGCAGGCGGUCCGCUAAGACAGAUGUGAAAUCCCCGGGCUUAACCUGGGAACUGCAUUUGUGACUGGCGGGCUAGAGUAUGGCAGAGGGGGGUAGAAUUCCACGUAGCAGUGAAAUGCGUAGAGAUGUGGAGGAAUACCGAUGGCGAAGGCAGCCCCCUGGGCCAAUACUGACGCUCAUGCACGAAAGCGUGGGGAGCAAACAGGAUUAGAUACCCCCGUAGUCC
RNAcentral lists this ribosomal RNA (791 nucleotides) under uncultured bacterium. RNAcentral's name for it is "bacterial SSU rRNA". It matches the Rfam family "Bacterial small subunit ribosomal RNA", at positions 8 to 796 of the family's 1533-position model. The record is from RNAcentral.